This 500-nucleotide ribosomal RNA is filed under the name uncultured bacterium. RNAcentral describes it as "partial 16S ribosomal RNA". It matches the Rfam family "Bacterial small subunit ribosomal RNA", at positions 30 to 523 of the family's 1533-position model. The record is from RNAcentral.
AUUGAACGCUGGCGGCAGGCCUAACACAUGCAAGUCGAGCGGAUGAAGAGAGCUUGCUCUCUGAUUCAGCGGCGGACGGGUGAGUAAUGCCUAGGAAUCUGCCUGGUAGUGGGGGACAACGUUUCGAAAGGAACGCUAAUACCGCAUACGUCCGACGGGAGAAAGGGGGGGAUCUUCGGACCUAACGCUAGCAGAUGAGCCUAGGUACGAUUGGCUAGUUGGUGAGGUAAAGGCUAACCAAGGCGACGAUCGUUAACUGGUCUGAGAGGAUGAUCAGUCACACUGGAACUGAGACACGGUCCAGACUCCUACGGGAGGCAGCAGUGGGGAAUAUUGGACAAUGGGCGAAAGCCUGAUCCAGCCAUGCCGCGUGUGUGAAGAAGGUCUUCGGAUUGUAAAGCACUUUAAGUUGGGAGGAAGGGCAGUAAGUUAAUACCUUGCUGUUUUGACGUUACCGACAGAAUAAGCACCGGCUAACUUCGUGCCAGCAGCCGCAGUAA